Non-coding RNA from Heteronotia binoei (common prickly gecko), 76 nucleotides. NCBI's taxonomy places the organism in Eukaryota, Metazoa, Chordata, Lepidosauria, Squamata, Gekkonidae. The record is from the annotation of a RefSeq genome assembly.
GGAGGGACUGUGGCUCAGUGGUAGAGCAUCUGCUUGACAUGCAGAAGGCCCCAAGGUUCAGACCCUGGCAUCUCCA